GACGAACGCUGGCGGCGUGCUUAACACAUGCAAGUCGAACGGAAAGGCCCUGCUUUUGUGGGGUGCUCGAGUGGCGAACGGGUGUGUAACACGUGAGUAACCUGCCCUUGACUUUGGGAUAACUUCAGGAAACUGGGGCUAAUACCGGAUAGGAGCUCCUGCUGCAUGGUGGGGGUUGGAAAGUUUCGGCGGUUGGGGAUGGACUCGCGGCUUAUCAGAUUGUUGGUGGGGUAGUGGCUUACCAAGGGUUUGACGGGUAGCCGGCCUGAGAGGGUGACCGGCCAAAUGGGGACUGAGAUAGGGCCCAGAAUCCAACGGGAGGCAGCAGUGGGGAAUAUUGCAAAAUGGGCGGAAGCCUGAUGCAGCAACGCCGCGGGCGGGAUGACGGCCUUCGGGUUGUAAACAGAUUUCGCCUGUGACGAAGCGGGAGUGACGGUAAUGGGUAAAGAAGCACCGGCUAACUACGUG
RNAcentral lists this ribosomal RNA (468 nucleotides) under uncultured bacterium. RNAcentral's name for it is "partial 16S ribosomal RNA". It matches the Rfam family "Bacterial small subunit ribosomal RNA", at positions 28 to 507 of the family's 1533-position model. The record is from RNAcentral.